GAACAGUCCAAGAUACGACUGAGUCCAGCAUGCCGUCUUAUGACGGAAAUUGAUAUAUGAGAUUUGAAAAUUUUCAAAACUUUGUACUACAAUGACAAUGACGCACUGGGUCAGUUUAUUAAGCGUGCUAGUUCACAAGGCAAAUAUAGAAAAAAGAAGAAAUGGUAUGAUUGCCAAUGCAUCAACUCUUCACAAACGACCAAAAUGGCACAGAAAUUAACAACUAUAGGUCAACAUACCGCAAAGUCAGCUAUAAAAGACCCCAAAAUGAUAAUGUAAAACAAUUUAAACGAGAAAAAUAACGGCCUAAUUUAUGUACCAAAAAAUGAACGAAAAACAAAUAUGUAACAGAAACAAACGACAGCCACUGAAUUACAGGCUCCUGAUUUGGAGAGACACAUACAUACUGAAUGUGGCGGGGUCAAACAUGUUUGCGUGAUCGCAACCCACUCCCUUACAUGAAACAGU
RNAcentral lists this long non-coding RNA (468 nucleotides) under Mytilus galloprovincialis (Mediterranean mussel). Lineage: Eukaryota; Metazoa; Mollusca; Bivalvia; Mytilida; Mytilidae. The record is from RNAcentral.